This 72-nucleotide transfer RNA is filed under the name Daphnia pulex (common water flea). It matches the Rfam family "tRNA". From Rfam's summary of the family: Transfer RNA (tRNA) molecules are approximately 80 nucleotides in length. Lineage: Eukaryota; Metazoa; Arthropoda; Branchiopoda; Diplostraca; Daphniidae. The record is from Rfam by way of RNAcentral.
GGUCAUGUGGUGUAAUGGUUAGCAUGCCGGUCUUAUAAUCCGCUGAUCCGAGUUCGAAUCUCGGCAUGACUA